GACGAACGCUGGCGGCGUGCUUAAUACAUGCAAGUCGAGCGAGGUUACUGUUUUGGAUCCCUUCGGGGUGAAGAAGCUUUAACCUAGCGGCGGACGGGUGAGUAACGCGUGGGUAACCUACCCCAAAGUCCGGGAUAACAGCGGGAAACCGCUGCUAAUACCGGAUGCCUUUACCUUGGGGCAUCUUGAGGUAAAGAAAGGUAACGCUUUGGGAUGGGCCCGCGUCCCAUUAGCUAGUUGGUGAGGUAACGGCUCACCAAGGCGACGAUGGGUAGCCGGCCUGAGAGGGUGGACGGCCACACUGGGACUGAGACACGGCCCAGACUCCUACGGGAGGCAGCAGUAGGGAAUAUUGUGCAAUGGACGGAAGUCUGACGCAGCGACGCCGCGUGAGCGAUGAAGGUCUUCGGAUCGUAAAGCUCUGUCCUUGGGGAAGAAGGUCUUCGGACUUGACGGUACCCAAGAAGAAAGCCCCGGCUAACUACGUGCCAGCAGCCGCGGUAAUACGUAGGGGGCGAGCGUUGUCCGGAAUUACUGGGCGUAAAGGGUGCGUAGGCGGCCCUUUAAGUCGGAUGUGAAAGCCCGCGGCUUAACCGCGGAAUGGCAUUCGAAACUGGAGGGCUUGAGUGUCGGAGAGGGUAGUGGAAUUCCCAGUGUAGCGGUGAAAUGCGUAGAUAUUGGGAGGAACACCAGUGGCGAAGGCGACUACCUGGACGAUAACUGACGCUGAGGCACGAAAGCUAGGGGAGCAAACAGG
RNAcentral lists this ribosomal RNA (757 nucleotides) under uncultured Neomoorella sp. RNAcentral's name for it is "bacterial SSU rRNA". It matches the Rfam family "Bacterial small subunit ribosomal RNA", at positions 28 to 776 of the family's 1533-position model. Lineage: Bacteria; Bacillati; Bacillota; Clostridia; Neomoorellales; Neomoorellaceae. The record is from RNAcentral.